This 253-nucleotide ribosomal RNA is filed under the name uncultured bacterium. Its description in RNAcentral is "partial 16S ribosomal RNA". It matches the Rfam family "Bacterial small subunit ribosomal RNA", at positions 524 to 776 of the family's 1533-position model. The record is from RNAcentral.
UACAGGGGGCGCGAGCGUUGCUCGGAAUCACUGGGCGUAAAGCGUACGCAGGCGGGUCGAUAAGUCUGUUGUGAAAGCCCGGGGCUCAACUCCGGAAUUGCCUUUAAGACUGCAUCGCUAGAAUUGUGGAGAGGUAAGUGGAAUUCCGAGUGUAGAGGUGAAAUUCGUAGAUAUUCGGAAGAACACCAGUGGCGAAGGCGACUUACUGGACACAUAUUGACGCUGAGGUGCGAAAGCGUGGGGAGCAAACAGG